RNAcentral lists this small RNA (702 nucleotides) under Pongo abelii (Sumatran orangutan). RNAcentral describes it as "processed transcript". The record is from RNAcentral. Lineage: Eukaryota; Metazoa; Chordata; Mammalia; Primates; Hominidae.
GCAAAGAAAAAUCCCUUUGGUUCCAGAAAAUCUCCUGAAAAAGAGGAAGGCUUAUCAAGCCCUCAAAGCCACCCAGGCAAAGCAGGCACUUUUGGCAAAGAAGGAGCAGAGGAAAGGAAAAGGGCUCAGGUUUAAGCGACUGGAAUCAUUCCUACAUGAUUCCUGGCGGCAGAAACGUGACAUGGUGCGUCUCAGACGACUAGAAAUGAAACCUCAUGCCUUGGAAUUGCCAGAUAAACAUUCCUUGGCCUUUGUUGUACGCAUCGAAAGGAACUUCAGCCUGAGACCUGAAAGAUGUGAAAGGCAUUCACCAGUGUUGGGAGACUUUCCAGGCAUAUGUGCUGAAGUCCUGAGGAUUGAUGGCGUGAGUUUACUGGUGCAGAGAACCAUUGCAAGACUUCGCCUAAAGAAAAUUUUUAGUGGUGUCUUUGUAAAAGUCACCCCCCAGAAUCUAAAAAUGCUGCGUAUAGUGGAACCUUAUGUGACCUGGGGAUUUCCAAAUCUGAAGUCUGUCCGAGAACUCAUUUUGAAACGUGGACAAGCCAAGGUGAAGAAUAAGACCAUCCCUCUGACAGACAACACAGUGAUUGAGGAGCACCUGGGGGAAGUUUGGCGUCAUUUGCUUGGAAGACCUCAUUCAUGAAAUUGCCUUUCCAGGGAAGCAUUUCCAGGAGAUCUCAUGGUUCUUGCGCCCUUUCCACC